GCGCAGGUGGCGGAAUUGGUAGACGCCCUGGAUUUAGGUUCCAGUGGGGCAACCCGUGGGGGUUCGAGUCCCCCCCUGCGCA
This 82-nucleotide transfer RNA is filed under the name Thioflavicoccus mobilis 8321. It matches the Rfam family "tRNA". Rfam says of the family: Transfer RNA (tRNA) molecules are approximately 80 nucleotides in length. Their secondary structure includes four short double-helical elements and three loops (D, anti-codon, and T loops). Lineage: Bacteria; Pseudomonadati; Pseudomonadota; Gammaproteobacteria; Chromatiales; Chromatiaceae. The record is from Rfam by way of RNAcentral.